RNAcentral lists this long non-coding RNA (1079 nucleotides) under Heterocephalus glaber (naked mole-rat). RNAcentral's name for it is "lncRNA (ENSHGLG00100049547.1)". The record is from RNAcentral. Lineage: Eukaryota; Metazoa; Chordata; Mammalia; Rodentia; Bathyergidae.
GUGAAGCGGGGCGCACGGAUCUCGCGAGGAGCGCAGUCGCCCGCGCUGCAGUCGGGACCGGCUUCAGCUUUAGAGAAGGAACGAGGCGCCAGCACUGGAGCGACAUCAUGCUGCGAGGCUACAGAUGAGGGGAGGCGGGCUCCACACUGAACCCCUCAGCCCGAGGCUUGGCCCAGCGGGAGCGCAGGGUGCUGGCCGGCUUCCCUGGGGCGGGGCAGCGCAGUGACCUUCACCGCACUCACGGAUCGCGGGGAGCAGCUCAGAGACAGCCGCCUCCAUCUGCCGUGAGGGCUCUGCCGUCCCCAUUUCCCAGAGGAAGAGACUGAGACACCGGGUCAAACCACUGAGCCACGGCCGCAGAGCCCACAUCCGUCUCCAGAUGCCAGCACAGUGAUAAAUCCCCGUGUUAUAUAAGCCAGCUGUUCUCUGCGUUCGAGUUUCUUGAUGCUCAUGAAAUGACCGCAAGCUCACAGCCGGGCUGAGCUCAGGAACAAGUCUGGAUUCAAAGUUGUCGGCCUCCAGGGCGCUUCCUGAAGGUUUGGUUCAAGAACUACAGAGCAAAGGCCAGGAGAGCAAAAGACAGGGUUUCCUAGUUACCUGGGCUGGACUCAAACCUGUGAUCCUCCUGUCUCAGCCUCCACAUCCAGACGACACUUGGCAAUCUGACCUGAGGACAUUAAAAGGCCGAGGGACCAGCCGGAGAUCCAGGUGCCCCUGAGCUCCCUUCCCUGCCGCUCUCCUCCCAGUGCAGGGGAAACUGCAGGUUCUCUUUCUGCCCAAAUGCAGGAGGCCCCAGAGGAGAGGCAGUGGAGACCCUGCAUCUCUGGCUGGCAUCAGCCCAGUGCCUUCAGGGGAAGAAAGGCAGCAAGCCACGGUCCUCCCUUGGGCUCCACAGGAGUCACCACUGCCUGCUCUGAGCCAGGCUGGCUUUGUUCUCCAACCCUGCUGGGUUCCCCCCAGCCCACUGCUCCCCUGAAAGUUGGCGUUCUCCUAAGGAAAGGGUCUGUACAUUUCCUGUCUUGCAAGUAAAUAAUUUGUACAUCUUUUCUCCAGAAAGAAAGAGAGGAAGCAGAACGAGG